Gymnodraco acuticeps is the source of this 600-nucleotide long non-coding RNA. RefSeq lists it as uncharacterized. The transcript is spliced from 4 exons. NCBI's taxonomy places the organism in Eukaryota, Metazoa, Chordata, Actinopteri, Perciformes, Bathydraconidae. The record is from RefSeq and is a predicted model, not a curated record.
GGAUUCAGGAGUGGAGCUGCUGAGAGAUCUUCUGGAGAGUCCAGACUGCAGACUGGAGACCCUCAGGAUCGAUAAUGAGACGAUCAGAGCCACGAUCCAGAAGACCUGUGAGUACUGAAACCAUGUCCUCCAUUCAUCAAGAUCCAGAAGACCUGUGACAGGAAGUGAAGACACACAGAAAGGUCCCAGAGGGUUACCCGUUGACCCGUGUCCAUCUCAAAAUGGUCCGCAGGCAUCCCAUAAUCCUGCGUUUGGAUGGAGACGUUCUCCGUGUAGUCAGAGCACUGGGUUUUCUUGGAGAUGCUCUCAAAGUCUUUGAGGACAAAGUCAGAAAAAGCCAAGAAGAAGAAAUGUGUUGAGCUCUUCUUCGUGUUCAUCACCCCGGGUUCAUUUAACCUGUUAAGCCCCAAACCUGUUUUUCAGGCCUCAGGCUCGAAAAUGACAUUCCCAGAACAAAUGACGAUAUCUUUAAAUUAAUAAUCUUUUUUCUCAAAGCAAUGAUAAACCUGUGAGUUGGAUGUGGAAAAGUCAGAAUCAAUAUAGAUGUUUUAAAGUAAAUUCAGAUUGAACUUAUUAAAAACAUGUAAAUUAUUGUGUCCG